Molecule: ribosomal RNA, 435 nt
Filed under: uncultured bacterium
Lineage: Bacteria
Description: partial 16S ribosomal RNA
Rfam family: Bacterial small subunit ribosomal RNA
Source: RNAcentral
AACGAACGCUGGCGGCAUGCCUAACACAUGCAAGUCGAACGAUUGCCUUCGGGUGAUAGUGGCGCACGGGUGCGUAACGCGUGGGAAUCUGCCCUUAGGUUCGGAAUAACAGCUGGAAACGGCUGCUAAUACCGGAUGAUAUCGCGAGAUCAAAGAUUUAUCGCCUGAGGAUGAGCCCGCGUUGGAUUCGGUAGUUGGUGGGGUAAAGGCCUACCAAGCCGACGAUCCAUAGCUGGUCUGAGAGGAUGAUCAGCCACACUGGGACUGAGACACGGCCCAGACUCCUACGGGAGGCAGCAGUGGGGAAUAUUGGACAAUGGGCGCAAGCCUGAUCCAGCAAUGCCGCGUGAGUGAUGAAGGCCCUAGGGUUGUAAAGCUCUUUUACCCGGGAAGAUAAUGACUGUACCGGGAGAAUAAGCCCCGGCUAACUCCGUG